AAGAUGAAUAGGGAAAAGGAAAGUGAGGAGUCACAAGCUUCAAAGCCAAAUCCAUUGAUUCCCAUUUCCUCCGACUGUAGGUUGGAGAUGACUGCCGACAAGAUUUACUUGCUUUGCAAGUUAUUUCACUUUUGAAGGACAUCUUUGAAGCUAUUGAUCUUUGCUUCUGUUUCUUUCCUUUGUGGAGUACUCCCAUCUGGCCCUAAGAGAGGAAUUAUUGAGGCAUCAAUUCCACUUUGGGUAUGGUGGAUAAGCUUGCUGCUUCUGCUAACCAUAACUCUUAUCGUGCAUGCUGAUAGGUGCACUCUGCUCGCUAACGCCCUUGCCACUACCCCCCUUAUGGGGGUAAGGGUAAGCAACAAUAAGCGUUAUGUGGAACUGUUAUAAUUUAUUAAUCUUGAUUUAUCAUUCUUCCAUUCUGUUUUUCAUUGUUCUAACACUAAGGUAAUGUGUAUUAGCUUAUGCUCUUGUCUCAACUGGCCUAGUAAAUCUCAGAUAUAAAUUCGUUAACGCCGAUGAUUGCUGGGCUGAAAUCUCUUUGAGAUGAAAGGGUUCAUAACUUUUGCAGUGUUUUAAUUCUGGAUAUUGGCGGAUGUCCCUGAUACAAAAACACUACAAGAUUUAGUUACAUAGAUUUACUAUUAGUAUAUAUAAUGUCGUUUCAUGCCUUUUGAGGUAAAGACUUAGAGUGCACGAUGAAAUUGCUCAUUGUAAUUAGUUAGUAAACAAUAAUAUUAAUUUUUUU
Salvia hispanica is the source of this 745-nucleotide long non-coding RNA. RefSeq lists it as uncharacterized. The record is from RefSeq and is a predicted model, not a curated record. NCBI's taxonomy places the organism in Eukaryota, Viridiplantae, Streptophyta, Magnoliopsida, Lamiales, Lamiaceae.